Tupaia belangeri (northern tree shrew) is the source of this 127-nucleotide small nucleolar RNA. Lineage: Eukaryota; Metazoa; Chordata; Mammalia; Scandentia; Tupaiidae. The record is from Ensembl.
CCCGCCACUGCACCUGACCAGUUGUGCUGGCGGUACAAUCAGUGGUGUGCUGAUGGUAAACCCCAGCUUAGGAAUCAAGGUUGUUCUUCAUGUGGAUGACUAUGCCGGAAGAGUUCGUGGACCAGCC